RNAcentral lists this ribosomal RNA (449 nucleotides) under uncultured bacterium. Its description in RNAcentral is "partial 16S ribosomal RNA". It matches the Rfam family "Bacterial small subunit ribosomal RNA", at positions 354 to 796 of the family's 1533-position model. The record is from RNAcentral.
GUCGAGAAUCUUUCACAAUGGGGGCAACCCUGAUGGAGCGACGCCGCGUGGAGGAUAAGGUCUUCGGAUUGUAAACUCCUGUCAUGCGUGAACAAGGUUGCUUGGUUAAUACCUGGGCAAAUUGAUGGUAACGCAAGAGGAAGAGACGGCUAACUCUGUGCCAGCAGCCGCGGUAAUACAGAGGUCUCAAGCGUUGUUCGGAAUCACUGGGCGUAAAGGGUGCGUAGGGGGCGUGGUAAGUCAGAUGUGAAAGCCCGGGGCUCAACCUCGGAACUGCAUCCGAUACGGCCAUGCUAGAGUACUGGAGAGGGUACUAGAAUUCUCGGUGUAGCAGUGAAAUGCGUAGAUAUCGAGAGGAAUACCAAAGGCGUAGGCAGGUCACUGGACAGUUACUGACACUGAGGCACGAAGGCCAGGGGAGCGAACGGGAUUAGAUACCCCUGUAGUCC